CCUACGGGGGGCAGCAGUGGGGAAUAUUGGACAAUGGGGGCAACCCUGAUCCAGCCAUGCCGCGUGUGUGAAGAAGGCCCUCGGGUUGUAAAGGACUUUCAGUGAGGAAGAACGCCUGGUGGUUAAUACCCAUCAGGAAAGACAUCACUCACAGAAGAAGCACCGGCUAACUCCGUGCCAGCAGCCGCGGUAAUACGGAGGGUGCGAGCGUUAAUCGGAAUUACUGGGCGUAAAGCGCGCGUAGGUGGCUUGAUAAGCCGGUUGUGAAAGCCCCGGGCUCAACCUGGGAACGGCAUCCGGAACUGUCAAGCUAGAGUGCAGGAGAGGAAGGUAGAAUUCCCGGUGUAGCGGUGAAAUGCGUAGAGAUCGGGAGGAAUACCAGUGGCGAAGGCGGCCUUCUGGACUGACACUGACACUGAGGUGCGAAAGCGUGGGUAGCAAACAGGAUUAGAUACCCGUGUAGUC
Molecule: ribosomal RNA, 465 nt
Filed under: Vreelandella stevensii
Lineage: Bacteria; Pseudomonadati; Pseudomonadota; Gammaproteobacteria; Oceanospirillales; Halomonadaceae
Description: partial 16S ribosomal RNA
Rfam family: Bacterial small subunit ribosomal RNA
Source: RNAcentral